Molecule: long non-coding RNA, 458 nt
Filed under: Homo sapiens (human)
Lineage: Eukaryota; Metazoa; Chordata; Mammalia; Primates; Hominidae
Description: HSALNT0086253
Source: RNAcentral
CCUGCACCCACUCCCUGAGCCAUCCGGCGUAUAUCGGUCACCCAGCAGGGUGUCAGGCAGUGUUGUAGGUGCUGGAGAUACGGCAGAGAACAAAACAAAGUCCCUGUUCCCGUGGAGUUUACGUUCUAGGAGCGGGUAUAUGUCAGCCAACAGCCGGUAGCCAAAACACAGAAAUUCUGUCUGAUGGUGACUGGAGCUUCAAGCAUAAAUAAAGCAGAGUAAGGAAAAUAAGGGUAAGGGAGGUGCUAUUUCAUGUAGAGUGUGGUUAGGGAGACCACUUGAAGGAAGGAAGGACAGGCCUGGGAGAUGCCUGCAGGAAGAGCAGCAAGUGGAAGGGUCCAGAUGAAGGAAUGAAUGUUCAAGAGCAAGAAGAUCAGUCUGGCUGGAGUCAAGUGAGAGGGAGACCAGAUCACGUGCCAGAUCUUUAGUGGAAAGAACAUGAACUCCACAGGGUCAGG